This 600-nucleotide ribosomal RNA is filed under the name uncultured bacterium. Its description in RNAcentral is "bacterial SSU rRNA". It matches the Rfam family "Bacterial small subunit ribosomal RNA", at positions 731 to 1335 of the family's 1533-position model. The record is from RNAcentral.
GGACUGUAACUGACGCUGAGGUACGAAAGUGUGGGGAGCAAACAGGAUUAGAUACCCUGGUAGUCCACACCGUAAACGAUGAGCACUAGGUGUCGGGGUCGAAGACUUCGGUGCCGCAGUUAACGCAUUAAGUGCUCCGCCUGGGGAGUACGUACGCAAGUAUGAAACUCAAAGGAAUUGACGGGGACCCGCACAAGCAGCGGAGCAUGUGGUUUAAUUCGAGGCAACGCGAAGAACCUUACCAGGGCUUGACAUCCCUCUGACCGGCCUGAUAACGAAGGCCUUUCUUCGGACAGAGGUGACAGGUGGUGCAUGGUUGUCGUCAGCUCGUGUCGUGAGAUGUUGGGUUAAGUCCCGCAACGAGCGCAACCCUUGUCUUUAGUUGCCAUCAUUGAGUUGGGCACUCUAGAGAGACUGCCGGGGACAACUCGGAGGAAGGUGGGGAUGACGUCAAAUCAUCAUGCCCCUUAUGUUCUGGGCUACACACGUGCUACAAUGGUCGGUACAAAGAGAAGCGAGACCGCGAGGUGGAGCAAAUCUCAAAAACCGAUCCCAGUUCGGAUUGCAGGCUGCAACUCGCCUGCAUGAAGUCGGAGUUGC